RNAcentral lists this long non-coding RNA (640 nucleotides) under Zostera marina. RNAcentral's name for it is "long non-coding RNA (ZMAR_LNC005909)". The record is from RNAcentral. Lineage: Eukaryota; Viridiplantae; Streptophyta; Magnoliopsida; Alismatales; Zosteraceae.
CUUGAUAUAUAUGAUAUGAUAUGAUAUGGGGGAGUAUUAGUAAUAUGAUACAUAUAUAUGAUAUGGAUAUCAUAUCAUAAUAAUAUAUGAUAUGAUACGAUACUAAUUAGUAAUAUGAUAUAGUAGUAUUAAGUUGUAUAUAUAUGAUACUCAUUGGGAAUGAAAAGGGAUUGAGUAUCUCUCCCACUUAUUUACAUCUCUAAUAAUCCAGGAUAGAAAAAAAAAUAUAUAUAUAUAUAUAUAUAUAUAUAUAUGAAUUUCCUUUAGUUUUAUAUAUAUUUACGAAAAUGCCACUGACGCAUCUGCACGCAUAUGCUCAAGUGCUCCAGGUAGUGGCGCAUCGCGCAGAGGUGCAUCUGAAACCUUAGUGUCUAUAAUAUAUAUCAAGGUCAAUAUUUGUUACCAGCUAGGAUUGACCCACCUGUCAUUUAUAAUUAGACAUCAACAAUUACACCAUCAGAAAUUCAGAAAAUGUGUCAUUAAUAAUGCUUCCGAAGUGCGAACUCUCUCUCAAGACUAGAAACUUAUUCUCAGACAUUAGAGGUUUAUUUCAUUUCUCAGCAAGUGGAAAUUUAGGGUAGGAUGCUUUCAAAAAAAAUUAGGGUAGGGGGGUAACUGCAUAUAACCCCUGAAAAUCAAA